Bubalus bubalis (water buffalo) is the source of this 280-nucleotide long non-coding RNA. RefSeq lists it as uncharacterized. The transcript has 2 exons. NCBI's taxonomy places the organism in Eukaryota, Metazoa, Chordata, Mammalia, Artiodactyla, Bovidae. The record is from RefSeq and is a predicted model, not a curated record.
AGGUAAGUUUCUGGACUUGAUCUCAAAUAUUAAGAAAUGCCCAUGGAACGGAAUCUGGGAAUGGAAUGCUCUCAGGCAAGAAACAACUACAGCUGUCCCUCUGUAUCCACAGGGAUUGGUUCCAGGACCUCCCAGGGAUACCAAAAUCCAUGGACGUUCAAGUCCCUUACAUAAAACGGCAAAGAAUUUGCAUAUGACCUACACACAUCCUCCCAUUUACUUUAAAUCAUCUCUAGAUUACUUAAAAAUACCCAAUAAAUGCUAUGUGAAUAGCUGCCAG